Molecule: ribosomal RNA, 468 nt
Filed under: uncultured bacterium
Lineage: Bacteria
Description: partial 16S ribosomal RNA
Rfam family: Bacterial small subunit ribosomal RNA
Source: RNAcentral
GACGAACGCUGGCGGCGUGCUUAACAUAUGCAAGUCGAGCGGAAAGGCCCUGCUUUUGUGGGGUGCUCGAGUGGCGAACGGGUGAGUAACACGUGAGUAACCUGCCCUUGACUUUGGGAUAACUUCAGGAAACUGGGGCUAAUACCGGAUAGGAGCUCCUGCUGCAUGGUGGGGGUUGGAAAGUUUCGGCGGUUGGGGAUGGACUCGCGGCUUAUCAGCUUGUUGGUGGGGUAGUGGCUUACCAAGGCUUUGACGGGUAGCCGGCCUGAGAGGGUGACCGGCCACAUUGGGACUGAGAUACGGCCCAGACUCCUACGGGAGGCAGCAGUGGGGAAUAUUGCACAAUGGGCGGAAGCCUGAUGCAGCAACGCCGCGUGCGGGAUGACGGCCUUCGGGUUGUAAACCGCUUUCGCCUGUGACGAAGCGUGAGUGACGGUAAUGGGUAAAGAAGCACCGGCUAACUACGUG